CUACGGGAGGCUGCAGUGAGGAAUAUUGCACAAUGGGCGGAAGCCUGAUGCAGCAACGCCGCGUGGAGGAUGACGCAUUUCGGUGUGUAAACUCCUUUUAUAUGUCAAGAAAAUGACGGUAGCAUAUGAAUAAGCACCGGCUAACUCCGUGCCAGCAGCCGCGGUAAUACGGAGGGUGCAAGCGUUACUCGGAAUCACUGGGCGUAAAGGACGCGUAGGCGGGUUGGAAAGUCAGGUGUGAAAUCCUACAGCUUAACUGUAGAACUGCACUUGAAACUUCUAAUCUAGAGUAUGGGAGGGGGAGAUGGAAUUAGUGGUGUAGGGGUAAUAUCCGUAGAUAUCACUAGGAAUACCUAAAGCGAAGGCGAUCUCCUGGAACAUUACUGACGCUAAGGCGUGAAAGCGUGGGGAGCAAACAGGAUUAGAUACCCGGGUAGUC
RNAcentral lists this ribosomal RNA (439 nucleotides) under uncultured bacterium. Its description in RNAcentral is "partial 16S ribosomal RNA". It matches the Rfam family "Bacterial small subunit ribosomal RNA", at positions 339 to 795 of the family's 1533-position model. The record is from RNAcentral.